AGUUCUAGCUUCCCGGCUGCUUUGUUUACCCAAGCAAGCCUGGGCAAUGGCGGGCGCCCCUCCCCCAGCCUUGCUGCGGCCUUGCAGUUUGAUCUCAGACUGCUGUGCUAGCAAUCAGCGAGACUCCGUGGGCGUAGGACCCUCCUAGCCAGGUGCAAGAUAUAAUCUCGCGGUGCGCCGUUUUUUAAGCCGGUCCGAAAGCGCAAUAUUCGGGUGGGAGAGACCCGAUUUUCCAGUGAGAUGAACCCAGUACCUCAGAUGGAAAUGCAGAAAUCACCCGUCUUCUGCGUCGCUCACGCUGGGAGCUGUAGACCGGAGCUGUUGCUAUUCGGCCAUCUUGGCUCCUCUCCUGUCUGAGGUACUUCUUUAUAGCACUGCAAGAAUGGACUAAUACGCUAUGUGAAGACAAAGGGGAUGUCUGCAAGCCAGGACGAGUGCGUCUACCAGAAACUGAGUUCUGCUGGACUUUGAUCUAGGACAUCCAGCCUCCAGAAUGGAAUGUGCCAUAUGUGGAGACCUGCAUGGAAAGGAACUGAGGAUGCUCUCUCACUAAAAGCUAGAAGGAACUGAGGCCCUCAGUCAACAGUCUACAAGACACUGAAUCUUGCCAGCAGCCAAGCAGUGAGCUUGAAAGCAGAUCUAUCAUCAGCUGAACCUUCAGAUGAGACCGCAGCCUAAGCAGAUACCUUGGUUGCAGCCAUGUGAGACAACCUGAAACAGAGGGCACAGCUAAGCCUCAGCCAGGUUCAUGACCCUCUGAGGAAACUGUGAGAAAGCAAAUGUCAUUUUAAGCUAUUUAAUUUUGGAGGUAGUUUAUUACACAACAAUAAAUAACUAUUAUAAUUAUCUUGAGGAUUUAUUUCCUGGGGAGAAUACAUGGAAUUGCAUAUAUAGGUCCUCAUAUGCAGAAUACUGGUACCCUAGAGAUGUUCACCCCAGAGAUGUUUUAGGAACCUGUGAAUAUGUUACAUUAAAUGGCAAAGUUUUCCUGGAUGGUUUAAGUUUAAGAUGGAAAAGUUUUACUGGAUUAUCCAGUGGGUCCAAUCUAGUAACAUGAGUCCUUAAAAAUGGAGAAUAUUUUUUGGCCAUGAUCAGAGAGACAUGUGAUGAUGGAAAAAGUGUCAGAGAUGCAAUGUGAGGGGACUAAAACUGCUGUUGCUGACUUUAAAGAUGGAGAGAGGGGAACCCGAGUCAAGGAAUGCAAAUGGCCUCUGGAAGCUGGAAAAAGCAAGAAAUGGAUUCUCCUUUAGAGCCUGUGGAAUAAAAUGCAGUCAUGCUGACACCUUGAUUUUACCUCAGUGAGACCAAUACUGGAGUAUGACCUUCGGAGCUGUAAGUUAAUAAAUUUCUGUUGUCUUAU
Homo sapiens (human) is the source of this 1360-nucleotide long non-coding RNA. Ensembl annotates it as long intergenic non-protein coding RNA 1748. NCBI's taxonomy places the organism in Eukaryota, Metazoa, Chordata, Mammalia, Primates, Hominidae. The record is from Ensembl.